GAUGAACGCUGGCGGCGUGCCUAAUACAUGCAAGUCGAGCGAACAGACGAGGAGCUUGCUCCUCUGACGUUAGCGGCGGACGGGUGAGUAACACGUGGAUAACCUACCUAUAAGACUGGGAUAACUUCGGGAAACCGGAGCUAAUACCGGAUAAUAUAUUGAACCGCAUGGUUCAAUAGUGAAAGACGGUUUUGCUGUCACUUAUAGAUGUAUCCGCGCCGCAUUAGCUAGUUGGUAAGGUAACGGCUUACCAAGGCAACGAUGCGUAGCCGACCUGAGAGGGUGAUCGGCCACACUGGAACUGAGACACGGUCAAGACUCCUACGGGAGGCAGCAGUAGGGAAUCUUCAGCAAUGGGCGAAAGCCUGACGGAGCAACGCCGCGUGAGUGAUGAAGGUCUUCGGAUCGUAAAACUCUGUUAUUAGGGAAGAACAAAUGUGUAAGUAACUAUGAACGUCUUGACGGUACCUAAUCAGAAAGCCACGGCUAACUACGUG
This 497-nucleotide ribosomal RNA is filed under the name uncultured bacterium. RNAcentral describes it as "partial 16S ribosomal RNA". It matches the Rfam family "Bacterial small subunit ribosomal RNA", at positions 28 to 507 of the family's 1533-position model. The record is from RNAcentral.